This is a long non-coding RNA of Helianthus annuus (common sunflower), 453 nucleotides long. RefSeq lists it as uncharacterized. NCBI's taxonomy places the organism in Eukaryota, Viridiplantae, Streptophyta, Magnoliopsida, Asterales, Asteraceae. The transcript is spliced from 3 exons. The record is from RefSeq and is a predicted model, not a curated record.
UCGAACAGAAGAAAAGAGGGUGAAAACCCUUGUUCAUGCUAACCUACUCAAUUAAUCAAGAAAUUCAAGCCUAAAUCAGUUGCAUGUCUCAAGUUUAUCGAUUAUCUAUGUAUAUCUAGUGAAGUGGUGUGAAGGAAGAAGGUUCGAAUUCUAAGAAGCCGGAAGGAUCACAAGACCGAGGUAAAUCCUCGACUUAGGCGAUUGGACGGCUUGGAACGUGCACACUUGGUUUACGCCCACUACUCGCUUCCGUUGUUAAGCCUUUUGGAAUGGGUUAAGUCUUGGUCAUAUGUAUUUAAGUUUAGGUAGUAUGUUGACAUCUUUGUCGUAGGGUAAAAACUUGGUAGUUGGAGUCAUGUCGUGACUAAUGUGGACUUUGUUUGUUUUCGGGUUUUUGUCAAGGAUGUUUAAUGUUUAAGUUUGGUGUGUAAAACAGGUAGUUAAUGAUGUUAA